RNAcentral lists this microRNA precursor (83 nucleotides) under Bombyx mori (domestic silkworm). RNAcentral describes it as "mir-2807 microRNA precursor family". It matches the Rfam family "mir-2807 microRNA precursor family". The record is from Rfam by way of RNAcentral. Lineage: Eukaryota; Metazoa; Arthropoda; Insecta; Lepidoptera; Bombycidae.
UUAACACAAAUUGUAUGGAGUCGGCAAGUUUGCCUCCGUUUGCCGCUGGGAGCGCUGCUCCAACUGCAUACAAAUUUCAGUUA